GACGAACGCUGGCGGCGUGCUUAACACAUGCCAGUCGAACGGAAAGGCCCUGCUUUUGUGGGGUGCUCGAGUGGCGAACGGGUGAGUAACACGUGAGUAACCUGCCCUUGACUUUGGGAUAACUUCAGGAAACUGGGGCUAAUACCGGAUAGGAGCUCCUGCUGCAUGGUGGGGGUUGGAAAGUUUCGGCUGUUGGGGAUGGACUCGCGGCUUAUCAGCUUGUUGGUGGGGUAGUGGCUUACCAAGGCUUUGACGGGUAGCCGGCCUGAGAGGGUGACCGGCCACAUUGGGACUGAGAUACGGCCCAGACUCCUACGGGAGGCAGCAGUGGGGAAUAUUGCACAAUGGGCGGAAGCCUGAUGCAGCAACGCCGCGUGCGGGAUGACGGCCUUCGGGUUGUAAACCGCUUUCGCCUGUGACGAAGCGUGAGUGACGGUAAUGGGUAAAGAAGCACCGGCUAACUACGUG
This 468-nucleotide ribosomal RNA is filed under the name uncultured bacterium. Its description in RNAcentral is "partial 16S ribosomal RNA". It matches the Rfam family "Bacterial small subunit ribosomal RNA", at positions 28 to 507 of the family's 1533-position model. The record is from RNAcentral.